UACGUAGGGUGCAAGCGUUGUCCGGAAUUAUUGGGCGUAAAGAGCUCGUAGGCGGUUUGUCGCGUCUGCUGUGAAAUCCCGAGGCUCAACCUCGGGCCUGCAGUGGGUACGGGCAGACUAGAGUGCGGUAGGGGAGAAUGGAAUUCCUGGUGUAGCGGUGGAAUGCGCAGAUAUCAGGAGGAACACCGAUGGCGAAGGCAGUUCUCUGGGCCGUAACUGACGCUGAGGAGCGAAAGCGUGGGGAGCGAACAGG
RNAcentral lists this ribosomal RNA (253 nucleotides) under uncultured bacterium. Its description in RNAcentral is "partial 16S ribosomal RNA". It matches the Rfam family "Bacterial small subunit ribosomal RNA", at positions 524 to 776 of the family's 1533-position model. The record is from RNAcentral.